This 185-nucleotide ribosomal RNA is filed under the name Aureonarius infucatus. RNAcentral describes it as "Cortinarius infucatus partial 28S ribosomal RNA". It matches the Rfam family "Eukaryotic large subunit ribosomal RNA", at positions 1 to 180 of the family's 3401-position model. The record is from RNAcentral. Lineage: Eukaryota; Fungi; Basidiomycota; Agaricomycetes; Agaricales; Cortinariaceae.
UGUGACCUCAAAUCAGGUAGGACUACCCGCUGAACUUAAGCAUAUCAAUAAGCGGAGGAAAAGAAACUAACAAGGAUUCCCCUAGUAACUGCGAGUGAAGCGGGAAAAGCUCAAAUUUAAAAUCUGGCAGUCCUUUAACUGCCCGAGUUGUAAUCUAGAGAAGUGUUAUCUGCGCUGGACCGUGU